Molecule: ribosomal RNA, 253 nt
Filed under: uncultured bacterium
Lineage: Bacteria
Description: partial 16S ribosomal RNA
Rfam family: Bacterial small subunit ribosomal RNA
Source: RNAcentral
UACAGAGGGGGCAAGCGUUGUUCGGAAUUACUGGGCGUAAAGGGCGCGUAGGCGGCCUGCUAAGUCGAACGUGAAAUCCCCGGGCUUAACCUGGGAAUGGCGCUUGUUACUGGCAGACUAGAGUGCGUCAGAGGGGGGUGGAAUUCCACGUGUAGCAGUGAAAUGCGUAGAGAUGUGGAGGAACACCGAUGGCGAAGGCAGCCCCCUGGGAUGACACUGACGCUCAUACACGAAAGCGUGGGGAGCAAACAGG